This 490-nucleotide ribosomal RNA is filed under the name uncultured bacterium. RNAcentral describes it as "partial 16S ribosomal RNA". It matches the Rfam family "Bacterial small subunit ribosomal RNA", at positions 29 to 507 of the family's 1533-position model. The record is from RNAcentral.
AGUGAACGCUGGCGGCAUUCCUAAUACAUGCAAGUCGAACGGCAGCACAGUGGAGCUUGCUCCAUGGGUGGCGAGUGGCGGACGGGUGAGGAAUACAUGGGAAUCUGCCCAGUCGUGGGGGAUAACGUAGGGAAACUUACGCUAAUACCGCAUGCGCCCUUCGGGGGAAAGCCGGGGACCUUCGGGCCUGGCGCGAUUGGAUGAGCCCAUGUUCGAUUAGCUAGUUGGCGGGGUAAAGGCCCACCAAGGCGACGAUCGAUAGCUGGUCUGAGAGGAUGAUCAGCCACACUGGGACGGAGACACGGCCCAGGCUCCUACGAGAGGUAGCAGUAGGGAAUAUUGGACAAUAGGCGCGAGCCUGGUCCAGCCAUGCCGCGUGAGUGAAGAAGGCCCUCGGGUUGUAAAGCUCUUUUGUCCGGGAAGAAAAGCAUCGGGCUAAUACCUCGGUGUUCUGACGGUACCGGAAGAAGAAGCACCGGCUAACUUCGUG